Lolium rigidum is the source of this 1236-nucleotide long non-coding RNA. RefSeq lists it as uncharacterized. The record is from RefSeq and is a predicted model, not a curated record. Lineage: Eukaryota; Viridiplantae; Streptophyta; Magnoliopsida; Poales; Poaceae. The transcript has 3 exons.
UCGUGUAGUUUGUACAUUUGGGGCUCUACUUAAGUCAUCUUCGAUGAUGGAAUUGUUACAUUCUGUCAUGAUGUUAGUGAGGUGUAUCUGCUUGCUUGUUUGUAUGACUUUGGGGCUUGUUAUUUUAAUCGAUGGUAAUAUCCAUCCAUACUUUGCAGGUAAACAGGGUAGAACUGUAGAUGGAGGAGCUGGCCAGAUCCGUCGUGACCUAGCCAUGCGUUGUUGCCGUUGCUGGGCUGGCUGUGGCCUCCCUCGUCUAGCACGAGGUGGUAGGCCCUGGCCGCCCUUGGCUUCUACUAUCUCCAUUACCUCCAGGGGUCCCACUGUCGUGUGAUGGCAGCGAGUUCACCGCGCCUCAGCCGUGGUCUUGUUCUACGCCUCGGUGUUUUAGGUAAUUGGUGAGUGAAGCCUUCUUUGGACAGUGGUAGCUGGACGUGACUCUGGAGCUGUUAGCCGUCGUGGUGUUUGCGAAGGUGAGAAGUGGAUUGGGCCUUUAUGCAGCAACAGUGUAGGAGCAGAGGUGGCCAAGAGGGAAGCCGGGUAGAAGUGUAGCUGGAGCCGGUCAGAUCCGGUGUGACCUGGACAUGUGUUGCUGUGGCUGCUAGGCUGGCUGUGGCCUCUCUCGCCUUGCACAAGGCCCUCUGUUACCUCCCAUUACCUCCUGGGGUCCCGCUGUCGUUUGAUGGCGACGAGUUCACCGUGCAUCAGCCAUGGUCUUGUUCUACACCUCGGUGUUUUAGGUCAGCGUAGACGUGGAGCACUUGAAGGACGUGCUAGGGCAAGUUGGAGAAGAUCCAGGAGCCCAAGAUGGCCGGUCUUGGACGAUAUACACAUCCAGGUAGAACUUGAGCAGCCCUUACCGCUUGGCUGUGUGUUGUUCGGCUACCAUACUAUUUUACUCUCAGCAAUGGUAAGAGAAUUGGUGAGAAUUUCUUGUCCGUUGGAGGUUAAUCUUUGUUGGCCUGUUGUCGUCUUGCAUGUUCCGGUUGGCAACGGAGGAGGCUGGAGAAGCAUCAGGUUGCUGUGGCAGAGGCAUCUAUGUGAUGUUGUCUGGACCCAGCGGAGACGGUGUUCUUGUAUGCUUUGGAUGUUAAACCUCGAGGUCUAUUUGUUUUGUAUCUGAAAGUAGGCGUUUGUGCGUGUGCUCUUUGCAGCCGACGAUGAGAGGUAGGAGCGUCUUGUAUAAUACUGGUUGGAUUGUAGUAGCAUUGUGUUGUGUGAAGGAUUGGAAGUUGU